GCCAUGACCAGGAAGAUCUUCACAAAUACCAGGGAGCGGUGGAGGCAGCAAAAUGUCAACAGUGCCUUUGCUAGGCUGAGGAAGCUCAUUCCCACUCACCCUCCAGACAAAAAGCUGAGCAAAAAUGAAACACUUCGCCUGGCAAUGAGGUAUAUCAACUUCUUGGUCAAGGUCUUGGGGGAGCAAAGCCUACAGCAAGCAGGAGUGGCUGCUCAGGGAAACAUUCUGGGGCUCUUCCCCCAAGGACCCCACCUGCCCGGCCUGGAGAACAGGAGUCUCCUUGAUGAUUACUGUGUUUCUUCACCUAACCCAGACCACCACCUUCCAUAGUAUGGCUUCAGCUGUCAUCACCCAGGCAGCACUUGUCAGAAGUCACCACUGUGAACAGCCUUAUGCAUGUUCCAGAGUGGACUGGAUGAAUGACUUGUGAGGCAUGUAUUGAGCCUCAUGGGAGGUGGCUGACAGAGCUGCAGGGAGCUGAAAGGAGGCCACAGGAAUGUUUCCCUGGAGUCCAUCGCCUCCAGGACUUCAGGCCAAACCCUGACUUCUGUCUGUUUUACAAAUUCAGGUUCUGUAUAAGAUGUUUGCAAAAAAAAAAAAAAAUCAUGGAUUUAAAAAUCCCUGUUUUACUCAAUGUAUUCAGUAAUAAGAAAGAAGUUUUCUCAUCAUGGAUCUCAGAUGAAUGAGCAGAAUAUGUUUCCCUCACAACAUAUUUAAAAACUUGUUUUUGAAGAAUGAGACGUAUUUGGUCAAGGACAAACAAAAUAAAUUUUAAGAUUGGUGUAUGAAAAGAAAGCCCCUGAAGAAUCAACUUGGGAGACAUGGAAAAAAACUCCCUGAGGAGUGAAGAUUGCAUAGAUGUGGAAGAGUGUAUCCUUUAAAUACUAUAGAAAUGUGAGUUUUACUUAUAUUGAGCCAUUUAUACAUAUGAUAUCUCUAAAGUUAAACAGUGGGUUUAUCUAUGAAAGCAGGAGGACCUGAUAAUUUAUGAGUUGAGUUCAUAGUUUUCUUAUUUAUGUAUUUAUUUUUUAAUAUUUAUUUUUUAGUAUUUGGCGGACACAACAUCUUUGUUUGUAUGUGGUGCUGAGGAUCGAACCUGGGCCGCACGCAUGCCAGGCGAGCGCGCUACCGCUUGAGCCACAUCCCAGCCCCUAGUUUUCUUAUUUAAAAAAAAAAAAAAAAGUUGGCUAAAAUAAAUUAGUAAACCCUUUAUUUCACAAGUCAGGUAUUAAAACUUUUAAUUCAGCCCGAGUUCCUGCUGACUUAAGAACCAUGAAAUUCUAUUGUAAUUAUGAAAAUCCAAACAUUACCAUUUAAUGACUCAUUUAACAGAGGUUAGUUUAAACAAAACAUUUAGAGUAAACAAUAGAAAUGUAAUGCCAGACUCUGAUGAACAAAUGAAUUUGUACUUUGCCUUCUUUGCUUUGGAGCAUUAGCUUAGUCUUAUGCUGGGGGGUGGGUGUGGUACCCAGGUCAAUGAAAUAGUGUCGAUUUUAUAGAACUCAUCACUGCGUGUCAUCCUGAACCUGAUGACACUUGGAUUCAAAGAUUAAAUCCUGUGGUUGAGGCCAGAAAUGUAAACAGUGUCAUUGGAUUAUCUCUGGAACUUUUUAUUUCCCCAAAAUUCUAGUCCAUGGAUUGGUUUUAAAGUCUUUUGAACCAGGGGUAAGAAAUCUAUGGAUUUGAGGUUAGGAAUUUUCAGUGUAUACACAAUAAAGGAAUUUGAACUUUCUGCCACUCUAGAAAGAAUUUUGUAAAUGAAAGGUUGAAAUAGGCCUUCUUGGUUUGACAAUAAAAAGAAAUCUGGGUGAGUCAGCAAUCUCAUUUUCCCAAAGUAGCAAGGUCAACAUGUUAUUAGAUCUAUAUAGACUUAGUACUUAUAGCCCAGUGGGUCUAUUUGAACCAGUAAGGUUUCCUUCUAGAUUCUUUAUUUAACCUGCAUUUGGUAAACUUCCGCACAUUUCCAGUACAGUUCAGGGAAACACACAAGCAGGAACAGGGGACUUUCCCCCAAAUGUGCAUUUCUUUCUCACCAGCUUGGGUGAACUCCAGCUUGUCCUCCAGUUACCAGGCGAUUUCAAAGUUUUGAGGACAGUUAUCAAUUGAGUAGCAUUACCUAAUCUCUCAACAACACUUUCAACCAUAUUUUUAUAUUAGUUUCAUUUUAGCACAUUGAUAAGGAAAACACAGAGCACUUCUGUGCCUGAAUAUAGGAUUUUGUUCCUCUACCCAGAAUGAGUUCACUUUCCCACUGCUGAGCUGUAGGCUAUGUGGACAAAGAGGGUCUUUCCACUGAAAUGUAACAGAUUCUGCAAAGACAUUAGGAGGUUGAGUUAUUACAUGAGGGGGGUUGUUAAGGAUUUUCUGCAGCAAAUCCUUUGAUAAAUGAAUACACCUUACUCUGUGUAAUCCAUUUCUUAAAAUAUUCAUUUUAUCAGCUUGGAUUUUUGUAUAUAAAUUGUAUUAUAUUAAAGUAUCUGUCAAAAAAAAAUUAUAGCUGGGCAUGGUGGUGCAUGCCUGUAAUCCCAGCAGGUGGUGCAUGCCUGUAAUCCCUCAGGAGGCUGAGGCAGGAGGAUUGUGAGUUCAUAGCCAGACUCAACAAAAGCGAGGUGCUAAACAACUCAGUGAGACCCUAUCUCUAAUAAAAUACAAAAUAGGGCUAGGGAUGUGGCUGAGUGGCUGAGUGCCCCUGAGUUCCAUCCCUGGUACCGCCCCCCCACACACACAAAAAAAAAAGAAUUAUAAUUACAUGUGGGCCAAAACCUUGAUAAGGUAUCCAUGAGAACGAAACCUAAUUAAAAAAUCAUUCUAGUGCUUUCUUUGGUGUCUACACUUAAGGGUUGAUAAUUGCAGCAAUAAGAAAUUAUGGUUCAAACACAUGGUAGGUCCCUGGAUGACCCCUUUAUGAGUCAUUUGAGCACAAAAAAACAGUUUAGACAAAUUGUCUAACCUGUGCAUCUCUAUUAUUUGAAUGAAAGUAAAUGUUUGGUAUGCUAUGGAUAACACUGGAAACUUCAGAAACAGGCCCAGUGGUCUAUAUAAAUAGACCGUGUGCUUGAUUAAUUCUAUUCCUUCAUUUUACAGGGGAGAAAACAGGUCCAAAGGUUUUUGAAAUGACUUUUCAAAGGUCACAUGGACUGUUACUGGAAACCCAGGGCAAAGAGCCAGGUCUCGUGGCCCCGCAUCCAGCUUUUCCACAGCCCUGUCCAGCUACCAAAUAUAUAGAGUUUCAAAAUCAACAAGCGCCUUAUCAUUAUACUCAUCUUUUUUCAAAAGCAUUCAGAAAUCUUCUUCAUAUGACUUUCUAUUGAAUUGGCAUUAUUGUGCUUUGUGAUAUGUGAGUAGAUGUAUCAACCAAAGAUUUCUAUUAGUUGAUGCAUCUUUUGAGUUCUU
Molecule: long non-coding RNA, 3393 nt
Filed under: Marmota monax (woodchuck)
Lineage: Eukaryota; Metazoa; Chordata; Mammalia; Rodentia; Sciuridae
Source: RNAcentral